UACGUAGGUGACCAGCGUUGUCCGGAUUUACUGGGCGUAAAGAGCGCGCGGGCGGUCGUUCAAGUCGAGUGUGAAAGCCCCCGGCUCAACUGGGGAGGGUCAUUCGAUACUGAUCGACUUGAAGGCAGGAGAGGGAAGCGGAAUUCCCGGUGUAGUGGUGAAAUGCGUAGAUAUCGGGAGGAACACCAGUGGCGAAGGCGGCGCUCUGGGCCGGUACUGACGCUGAGGAGCGAAAGCGUGGGGAGCAAACAGG
RNAcentral lists this ribosomal RNA (253 nucleotides) under uncultured bacterium. RNAcentral describes it as "partial 16S ribosomal RNA". It matches the Rfam family "Bacterial small subunit ribosomal RNA", at positions 524 to 776 of the family's 1533-position model. The record is from RNAcentral.